Molecule: unclassified non-coding RNA, 210 nt
Filed under: uncultured fungus
Lineage: Eukaryota; Fungi
Description: sequence contains ITS2
Source: RNAcentral
AACGCACAUUGCGCCCCUCGUUACAGGGGGGCAUGCCUGUCUGAGUGUCUUUUAAACCAUAGACUUUUGUCUGUUUUGGGCCUCGCGCCUCCGCGCGGCCUAAAAGUCAUUGCUGUCGAGCGGACGGGAUCCAUUGGGAUGGCGCCGCCUCGACUCGCUUCGCUUUCUCCGACGGACCUCAGAUCAGGUAGGACCACCGCCUGAACUUAA